This 370-nucleotide ribosomal RNA is filed under the name uncultured organism. Its description in RNAcentral is "bacterial SSU rRNA". It matches the Rfam family "Bacterial small subunit ribosomal RNA", at positions 526 to 896 of the family's 1533-position model. The record is from RNAcentral.
CGUAGGGUGCGAGCGUUAAUCGGAAUUACUGGGCGUAAAGCGUGCGCAGGCGGUUUUGUAAGACAGAUGUGAAAUCCCCGGGCUCAACCUGGGACCUGCAUUUGUGACUGCAAGGCUAGAGUACGGUAGAGGGGGAUGGAAUUCCGCGUGUAGCAGUGAAAUGCGUAGAUAUGCGGAGGAACACCGAUGGCGAAGGCAAUCCCCUGGACCCGUACUGACGCUCAUGCACGAAAGCGUGGGGAGCAAACAGGAUUAGAUACCCUGGUAGUCCACGCCCUAAACGAUGUCAACUGGUUGUUGGGUCUUUACUGACUCAGUAACGAAGCUAACGCGUGAAGUUGACCGCCUGGGGAGUACGGCCGCAAGGUUG